This 307-nucleotide ribosomal RNA is filed under the name uncultured bacterium. Its description in RNAcentral is "partial 16S ribosomal RNA". It matches the Rfam family "Bacterial small subunit ribosomal RNA", at positions 506 to 807 of the family's 1533-position model. The record is from RNAcentral.
AGACAGCAGCCGCCGCGGUAAUACGAAGGGUGCAAGCGUUAAUCGGAAUUACUGGGCGUAAAGCGUGCGUAGGCGGUGAGUUAAGUCUGCUGUGAAAUCCCCGGGCUCAACCUGGGAAUGGCAGUGGAUACUGGCUCGCUAGAGUGUGUCAGAGGAUGGUGGAAUUCCCGGUGUAGCGGUGAAAUGCGUAGAGAUCGGGAGGAACAUCAGUGGCGAAGGCGGCCAUCUGGGACAACACUGACGCUGAGGCACGAAAGCGUGGGGAGCAAACAGGAUUAGAGACCCCCGUAGUCCCUGUCUCUUAUAC